This is a small nuclear RNA of Manduca sexta (tobacco hornworm), 110 nucleotides long. NCBI's taxonomy places the organism in Eukaryota, Metazoa, Arthropoda, Insecta, Lepidoptera, Sphingidae. The record is from RefSeq and is a predicted model, not a curated record.
GUACUUGCUUCGGCAGUACAUGUAGUAAAAUUGGAAAGAUACAGAAAUUAGUAUGGCGCCUGUAUAAAGAUGACAAAAACCCUUAAAGAUGGAGGGGUGGUGAAGGUUUU